RNAcentral lists this ribosomal RNA (323 nucleotides) under uncultured eukaryote. Its description in RNAcentral is "SSU rRNA". It matches the Rfam family "Eukaryotic small subunit ribosomal RNA", at positions 1461 to 1785 of the family's 1831-position model. The record is from RNAcentral.
UCUGUGAUGCCCUUAGAUGUUCUGGGCCGCACGCGCGCACACACUGAUGCAUUCAACGAGCCUAUCCUUGGCCGAGAGGCCUGGGUAAUCUUUGAAACUGCAUCGUGAUGGGGAUAGAUUAUUGCAAUUAUUAGUCUUCAACGAGGAAUGCCUAGUAAGCGCGAGUCAUCAGCUCGCGUUGAUUACGUCCCUGCCCUUUGUACACACCGCCCGGCGCUCCUACCGAUUGGGUGUGCUGGUGAAGUGUUCGGAUUGGCCCCGGCUGGUGGCAACACUGGCCGGAGCCGAAAAGAUCAUUAAACCCUCCCACCUAGAGGAAGGAG